GUGUCCAUUUAAAAUAUAAAAUAAUUUUGUUUAAAAAAUUAUCAUAUUUUAGUUCUCCCCUGUUUUUACCCAAUAACACGUCCUUUUCACCGAACGGAUUGUUUAUUCCUAUGUUUGAUUUGAUCAGUAUUUCUUGGAGGUUUUUUUAAAUUAACUGUGAUGUGCAACAACUGAAAAAUAAGUGUUGCAGGGUUUCUAUAUUAUUGUCAUUUUGACAAAUGUGGCAUUUUCCAUUUGAUAACUUCAUUUUUUUUAAUCUUUCUUCAGUAUAUAAAAUAUUG
This 281-nucleotide long non-coding RNA is filed under the name Mytilus galloprovincialis (Mediterranean mussel). Lineage: Eukaryota; Metazoa; Mollusca; Bivalvia; Mytilida; Mytilidae. The record is from RNAcentral.